GCCCGCCUAGCUCAAUCGGAUAGAGCGUCAGACUUUUAUCCGCUCAUCGGUAAAUGUCAUCUGAAGGCUGCGAGUUCGACCCUCGCGGUGGGCU
Molecule: non-coding RNA, 94 nt
Organism: Pilatotrama ljubarskyi
Lineage: Eukaryota; Fungi; Basidiomycota; Agaricomycetes; Polyporales; Polyporaceae
Source: the annotation of a GenBank genome assembly